GAGUUUGAUCCUGGCUCAGGAUGAACGCUGGCGGCGUGCCUAAUACAUGCAAGUCGAACGCACAGCGAAAGGUGCUUGCACCUUUCAAGUGAGUGGCGAACGGGUGAGUAACACGUGGACAACCUGCCUCAAGGCUGGGGAUAACAUUUGGAAACAGAUGCUAAUACCGAAUAAAACUUAGUGUCGCAUGACACAAAGUUAAAAGGCGCUUCGGCGUCACCUAGAGAUGGAUCCGCGGUGCAUUAGUUAGUUGGUGGGGUAAAGGCCUACCAAGACAAUGAUGCAUAGCCGAGUUGAGAGACUGAUCGGCCACAUUGGGACUGAGACACGGCCCAAACUCCUACGGGAGGCUGCAGUAGGGAAUCUUCCACAAUGGGCGAAAGCCUGAUGGAGCAACGCCGCGUGUGUGAUGAAGGCUUUCGGGUCGUAAAGCACUGUUGUAUGGGAAGAACAGCUAGAAUAGGAAAUGAUUUUAGUUUGACGGUACCAUACCAGAAAGGGACGGCUAAAUACGUGCCAGCAGCCGCGGUAAUACGUAUGUCCCGAGCGUUAUCCGGAUUUAUUGGGCGUAAAGCGAGCGCAGACGGUUUAUUAAGUCUGAUGUGAAAGCCCGGAGCUCAACUCCGGA
Molecule: ribosomal RNA, 628 nt
Filed under: Leuconostoc mesenteroides
Lineage: Bacteria; Bacillati; Bacillota; Bacilli; Lactobacillales; Lactobacillaceae
Description: bacterial SSU rRNA
Rfam family: Bacterial small subunit ribosomal RNA
Source: RNAcentral